This 71-nucleotide transfer RNA is filed under the name Candidatus Pacearchaeota archaeon. RNAcentral describes it as "tRNA-Trp". It matches the Rfam family "tRNA". Rfam says of the family: Transfer RNA (tRNA) molecules are approximately 80 nucleotides in length. Their secondary structure includes four short double-helical elements and three loops (D, anti-codon, and T loops). Further hydrogen bonds mediate the characteristic L-shaped molecular structure. tRNAs have two regions of fundamental functional importance: the anti-codon, which is responsible for specific mRNA codon recognition, and the 3' end, to which the tRNAs corresponding amino acid is attached (by aminoacyl-tRNA synthetases). tRNAs cope with the degeneracy of the genetic code in two manners: having more than one tRNA (with a specific anti-codon) for a particular amino acid; and 'wobble' base-pairing, i.e. permitting non-standard base-pairing at the 3rd anti-codon position. The record is from RNAcentral. Lineage: Archaea; Nanobdellati.
GGGUCUAUAUUUCAACGGCAGAAUAGACGGCUCCAGACCGUCAGAUGGGGGUUCGAUUCCUCCUAGGCCCA